This 30-nucleotide ribosomal RNA is filed under the name Tritrichomonas sp. AUTf. RNAcentral describes it as "partial 28S ribosomal RNA". The record is from RNAcentral. Lineage: Eukaryota; Parabasalia; Tritrichomonadida; Tritrichomonadidae.
AAAGGGUUCUGUCUCAUAUAGGGAAGACCC